AAGAUCUCUCGCACAACUCAAUCUAGGGUUUUCUUUUUCUCUCUACUUUCAUAUGGAUCAUCCUCCGCCACCAAUCCAAAACCUAGAUCCUCAGCCCCCACCUCCUCCUGAAACCCUAAUUCCUUCCUAUCAAUACCCAUCUCCACCUUCCCAAUCCCUUGAUUCCUCCUUUCAAAACCCCUCCAAAACCCUUGCUUCAGAUCAUCCUGAUUCGAUUUCUCCAAAUUCUGAUUCUCAAAACCUCGCUAGUUUUUCCAAUAAUGGCCAGACCCAUUUCGAAGGGCCCAAGUUCGACCUCCAGAAGCCCUUGGUUUCUGAAAAUGGCGUCACCAACACCC
This 338-nucleotide long non-coding RNA is filed under the name Vitis vinifera (wine grape). Its description in RNAcentral is "long non-coding RNA (VVIN_LNC006386)". The record is from RNAcentral. Lineage: Eukaryota; Viridiplantae; Streptophyta; Magnoliopsida; Vitales; Vitaceae.